Molecule: ribosomal RNA, 522 nt
Filed under: uncultured Glomeromycotina
Lineage: Eukaryota; Fungi; Glomeromycota
Description: SSU rRNA
Rfam family: Eukaryotic small subunit ribosomal RNA
Source: RNAcentral
UUGGAGGGCAAGUCUGGUGCCAGCAGCCGCGGUAAUUCCAGCUCCAAUAGCGUAUAUUAAAGUUGUUGCAGUUAAAAAGCUCGUAGUUGAAUUUCGGGGUCAGUAGGUCGGUCGUGCCACUGGUAUGAACUGGUUUUACUGAUUCCUCCUUCCUGAUGAGCUGUAAUGCCAUUAAUUUGGUGUUGCGGGGAAUCUGGACUGUUACUUUGAAAAAAUUAGAGUGUUUAAAGCAGGCUAACGCCUGAAUACAUUAGCAUGGAAUAAUGAAAUAGGACGUUCGAUCCUAUUUUGUUGGUUUCUAGGAUUGACGUAAUGAUUAAUAGGGAUAGUUGGGGCAUUAGUAUUCAAUUGUCAGAGGUGAAAUUCUUGGAUUUAUUGAAGACUAACUACUGCGAAAGCAUUUGCCAAGGAUGUUUUCAUUAAUCAAGAACGAAAGUUAGGGGAUCGAAGACGAUCAGAUACCGUCGUAGUCUUAACCAUAAACUAUGCCGACUAGGGAUCGGAUGAUGUUAAUUUUUAAUG